ACGCACGCUGGCGGCGUGCUUCACACAUGCAAGUCGCACGGAAAGGCCCUGCUUUUGUGGGGUGCUCGAGUGGCGAACGGGUGAGUAACACGUGAGUAACCUGCCCUUGACUUUGGGAUAACUUCAGGAAACUGGGGCUAAUACCGGAUAGGAGCUCCUGCUGCCUGGUGGGGGUUGGAAAGUUUCGGCGGUUGGGGAUGGACUCGCGGCUUAUCCGCUUGUUGGUGGGGUAGUGGCUUACCAAGGCUUUGACGGGUAGCCGGCCUGAGAGGGUGACCGGGCACAUUGGGACUGAGAUACGGCCCAGACUCCAACGGGAGGCAGCAGUGUGGAAUAUUGCACAAUGGGCGGAAGCCUGAUGCAGCAACGCCGCGUGCGGGAUGACGGCCGUCGGGUUGUAAACCGCUUUCGCCUGUGACGAAGCGUGAGUGACGGUAAUGGGUAAAGAAGCACCGGCUAACUACGUG
This 467-nucleotide ribosomal RNA is filed under the name uncultured bacterium. Its description in RNAcentral is "partial 16S ribosomal RNA". It matches the Rfam family "Bacterial small subunit ribosomal RNA", at positions 29 to 507 of the family's 1533-position model. The record is from RNAcentral.